RNAcentral lists this ribosomal RNA (375 nucleotides) under uncultured beta proteobacterium. RNAcentral describes it as "bacterial SSU rRNA". It matches the Rfam family "Bacterial small subunit ribosomal RNA", at positions 114 to 507 of the family's 1533-position model. Lineage: Bacteria; Pseudomonadati; Pseudomonadota; Betaproteobacteria. The record is from RNAcentral.
UACAUCGGAACGUGUCCUGUAGUGGGGGAUAGCCCGGCGAAAGCCGGAUUAAUACCGCAUACGCUCUACGGAGGAAAGGGGGGGAUCUUAGGACCUCCCGCUACAGGGGCGGCCGAUGGCAGAUUAGCUAGUUGGUGGGGUAAAGGCCUACCAAGGCGACGAUCUGUAGCUGGUCUGAGAGGACGACCAGCCACACUGGGACUGAGACACGGCCCAGACUCCUACGGGAGGCAGCAGUGGGGAAUUUUGUGCAAUGGGCGAAAGCCUGACACAGCGACACCGCGUGGAUGAAGAAGCCCUUUGGGGUGUAAAAUCCUGUCGGCUGGAACGAAACAAAUGACGGUACCAGCAGAGGAAGCAUCGGCUAACUACGUG